UGAGGAAUAUUGGUCAAUGGGCGCAAGCCUGAACCAGCCAUGCCGCGUGCAGGAUGAAGCAUCUAUGGUGUGUAAACUGCUUUUAUACGGGAAGAAACAGCUCUACGUGUAGAGCCUUGACGGUACCGUAGGAAUAAGGAUCGGCUAACUCCGUGCCAGCAGCCGCGGUAAUACGGAGGAUCCAAGCGUUAUCCGGAAUCAUUGGGUUUAAAGGGUCCGUAGGCGGCCCUGUAAGUCAGUGGUGAAAUCUCCCCGCUCAACGGGGAAACGGCCAUUGAUACUGCAGGGCUUGAAUUAUUGGGAAGUAACUAGAAUAUGUAGUGUAGCGGUGAAAUGCUUAGAUAUUACAUGGAAUACCGAUUGCGAAGGCAGGUUACUAUCAAUACAUUGACGCUGAUGGACGAAAGCGUGGGUAGCGAACAGG
Molecule: ribosomal RNA, 424 nt
Filed under: uncultured Flavobacterium sp.
Lineage: Bacteria; Pseudomonadati; Bacteroidota; Flavobacteriia; Flavobacteriales; Flavobacteriaceae
Description: bacterial SSU rRNA
Rfam family: Bacterial small subunit ribosomal RNA
Source: RNAcentral